AUGAAGCCGUUGUUUCAAGUAUUAUGAGAAGUAACACCGAAACCAGCAGUGUGACUGGCGAAAUUACAAUUCAUUUGAGACUCGUGAGGGCAACGCUAAUGAGUAAGGUUCAAAGGUUGAGAGAGGAAGGUCAUCGGACUGGAAUGAAUGGCAAUAAAAGCAUGAACCCGACAAUUCACUGAGUGUUCCAUCUUGGACCUGCAGCUCUCUGUCAUCAACAUGAAGCUGUCUCUUCUCGUCUUGGGCGCCAUCGUCCUGCUGGUUCAAGGGACCGCUCAAAAGGAUAAACGUGGACCAAAAGUAAAUCCUGUUACAAGAACAACAGCAGCAACCACAGUUUUGAACAAACCUGCGCCUGUAGCUACAACACCAGAUCGCAAAAGGCCAACACCUGCAAAAGCUGCUGCCCGUCAAAUGACAGUCACCCCGGCUACCAUUAGAGGCACAGAAACCAAAACGAGAAAAAAGGGGAAAAAAAGUUUUUCUGAGUUAUUACAAUUACUUGAGAAAAAUACUAAAACUACUCCGAAGCGCUUAACUGGGAAACCUGGAAAAUGGCAAGCUCGCUUUUUUGUCACAAAAUCAUUAAUCAGUGACACAAUACUGAUCAACAAGUGUGUACUAGCAGUUACCGACAAUAACAAACUGUCAAGUGAAGAUUGUAUUGGGCUUUCUCGUUAAAAUAAACUUGGAAAGGACCUUUACACUUUUCUCCUCUUGUAUAUUGUCAUAAUAUACUAAAACCUUUAUGCAACCUUCCUCAUCUUCAUCACCUUUUGUGCUUUGUUUGUUCACCAUGGACAACUAGAUAAGAAAUUAAAAGGAAGAACGGACCCCUAGCAAGAUAGUCUUUGGUCAUGUACUGUACAUUGUUUGUUCAUAUCAGGCUGCAGGUAUUGUUACCUGUAAUACUAUCCUGUGUAAAUAGCAAUUAAAGGUGU
Molecule: unclassified non-coding RNA, 941 nt
Filed under: Pomacea canaliculata
Lineage: Eukaryota; Metazoa; Mollusca; Gastropoda; Architaenioglossa; Ampullariidae
Description: uncharacterized LOC112566517, transcript variant X1
Source: RNAcentral